CAGUGUGGGAUGUUUGCUAGGCAGCUGAGCUCGAAGCCUCUGAUUGGCGAAGGCGUUGCUAAGGCAAACAGUGCCGCUUCCUCCGAUUGGCCAGUUAGUGAAGGGCCACCCGGAAGGUGGGGCUCCCCAGAGGAGCAAUGGAGGAAGCCCCGCCCCCUCUCCUUACCGGGAAGAGGAAGGGGGAGGCGUAACUAGGGCCAGCAUCCCUAGCAGCAGCGAAUACACUCCCUAAACGUGCCCAGGCCCGGACAUCCUGAAGAGGCAACUACACUUUCCCACCAGGCCGGCUCCCCGGUCCUCAUUCAUCAUCCUCUAUACUGGAGGGAUCUUUGGCAGACAUACAUCUGGAAAAGACCGGGGGGAGACAGUUGGCCUCCCAGUCCCCGAAGGGGGCAGGGAGACGAGAUGAAGAUCAGUGAAGACUUCCAGCUGCGGGCUGGGCUGGGGGAGGGGGUUGUCCCGGGGAUAAAUCCCACCCUACCGCCAGUGCAAAGGCUUGGGAAAAAGUAGAGCCAGACAGAAAGUUUCAGCAAAUAAGCCAGCCAGCCAGCAUGCGCUCGCGCACACACACGCGCCCGCGCACACAAACGCGCGCACACGCACACACACACACACACACACACACACACACACACACCCUUACCCCUUCUAUGGAAAGCCCAUGAAGGGGUGGGCGGUUAGAACUGCAGCGCUGCAAAGCCCAGGUUCAGGGUUUGGGUCUGGAUCUCAGCUCCAAGGCCGUGAAAAUAUCUUGUUUGGGCUUUGCAGUUACAGAAAUUACUCAAAUCUGGAAUCAGCCCCUUUCUAGCCUGCGCCUGGAAAUAAGGGUUCGACCUCUCCAAACUCCAUCAUAUUCCUCAUUGUUGGUACCCAUCCGCUGAGGUUCUUAAUGCAAAUUACAUGAGAUAAAGGCUAAAGCAUACAGUAAGUGGUCAGUUAAUAGGAGCUCCUGGGGUAAUCGAUUCCUCCCUGGAAUAAACAUCGGGUUGUUUUGAAGGGGUUGGGAGAGUGAUAUUUCCUUUCCUUAAAAAUUUUUGUGAAGACUAAAUAAAGUGGUUGGUUUUGUUUGA
Long non-coding RNA from Acinonyx jubatus (cheetah), 1070 nucleotides. RefSeq lists it as uncharacterized. NCBI's taxonomy places the organism in Eukaryota, Metazoa, Chordata, Mammalia, Carnivora, Felidae. The record is from RefSeq and is a predicted model, not a curated record. The transcript is spliced from 2 exons.